GCCAGAUCCACCUCUCUCAAAUCCUAUCCCACUAUCCCUUUCCCCACCAUUAGUGCUCCAUGGUUUCGAUCUAGGCCACGGCGCACCAAGCCACAGCAAAGUCCCCAUCGGUGGCCACGCCGGCGCCCGCGUGCGGGCCGAUGCAGUUGAUCCCGUCGGUGGGAGGCCAACCUAGGCGGCGGUGGCGAAGCCACGGGUCCCUUUGGUAGUGGAGCCAUGGAUCCCAUCGGUGGCCAGCGAGGGAAGGUCAGCGGUGUUCCGUUGGUGGUCAAGCUAGGCGGCGGCGGCGCCAUGGAUCCCGUCGGUGGGCAACCUAGGCGGCGGCGACACCAUGAAUUCCAUCGGUGGCCAGCGGGGAGAGGCUAGCGGGGGCUGCAGCGGAGGUGGCCAACCUAGGCGGCGGCACCACGAAUCCCGUCGAUGGCCAGCGAGGGGAAGCCCAGCGGGGGCCUCAGUGGCCGGUGCCCAAGCUUGGCGCCAGUCUGUUGGACAAGGCCGUGAUGGUCGCCGUCAUAGGAGGUGUGUGGAUCUGACUCCAAUGGCGUCGGCGAGCUCAUCCUCGUUCUCUUGCUCGACGAGGAGGACUUAGUGAGCUCCGACUCUGUUGUCGCCGGUGAGCUCAUCCUCCUCCAAUGGAGUGCAGCCUCUAAUCUUUGAUCCCAUGUAAUUAGCUAGUGAUUCUAAACUACUCGUAUUGUUUAAUAUGUUGUAUAUGGGAUCGACGAAUUUUGUGUUAAUUGUUGUUUUAAUUGAUUAACGUUGUGGUAAACAAAAAUGUUAU
RNAcentral lists this ribosomal RNA (781 nucleotides) under Triticum aestivum (bread wheat). RNAcentral's name for it is "partial small subunit ribosomal RNA". The record is from RNAcentral. Lineage: Eukaryota; Viridiplantae; Streptophyta; Magnoliopsida; Poales; Poaceae.